Molecule: long non-coding RNA, 1013 nt
Organism: Tribolium castaneum (red flour beetle)
Lineage: Eukaryota; Metazoa; Arthropoda; Insecta; Coleoptera; Tenebrionidae
Exons: 2
Source: RefSeq, a predicted model, not a curated record
UACGGAAGGCUCCGAACAAUUACAAUUAUCGCGAGUUGCGGUCACGCAGAGCUCUGCCUUACCAGCAAUUCGCGACAAUGAAAUAAAACGACUGUUGCUGGAAGCCCCCGUUAUUACCCUCGACAAUGGUGCAAGGCCGGAACUGCUCCGCUGACGUCUUUGAUGCAGGAAGUGACUUAUGGGGAGAUGGACGAUAUGUGAAGAGCUUUAAUUUCGCCCCAAUGGCCGAGACAAUGAACGGGGGAGUUAUAACCGCUUGUUUUGCUCGCAAACACUUGCAUAACUCUGCAAUUAUGUUGGCCACCUUUACAACGCAUUGUCUAAGCGGCGAUAAAUUUUUCGGGUCACACUGUAACUUGCAACAGAUAAAACUGAUCACGAAAAUGAAAUUAUGUAACAAUUUCACUUCAAGGAACCAAGAAUACCAUAUAAUUUUAUUCUUCCUGUUAUGACAGCUUAUUUAUUUAAAAAGCAUUUGGAUGAAAAUUUUUGGAAUGGUUUCGACCACACACCGAGAAACUCACUCCAGGAUGGAUUCGUCUGUAGCUUCAAAACUUGGGAUAUUAUGACUGUAUUUUAUACAACUUUACUUCUAGGCUACAAAUGGCUUCAUAAAAGUGAAGCAAACAGUUGAAUACGAAAAAUAUGUGUAUGUGUUCGACAAACAAAGCCACAGCUUUUAUGGGGAUCUGAUGUAGGAGUCGAAUAUGAAGUCUUCAAUUAGCACUUCGUACGAGCUUAAUAAAAAGGGAAAAGUCAAUAUAGACACAAAACUAGCUAGAAAUAAAAACCCAAAAAGUCGAGUUAGUGACCUGAGUCUCAUCUUCACACACUUUUCUACUUGUUAUUUUUAAUUCCGUCAAUAUUUCUCAAGACCAAAAUGUUUUAUUUAGGAGCUGUUAUUCAUCUAAAUGUCACAGAAGACAUUACUAAAUGCUUUUUCUAUUGUUUGGUGAGUAGGUGGCGCCAAAGCUGUAUGUUAAUAAGAAAUAAAUGUGCAUAUUUUGUUUCGA